RNAcentral lists this ribosomal RNA (607 nucleotides) under Neisseria gonorrhoeae. Its description in RNAcentral is "partial 23S ribosomal RNA". It matches the Rfam family "Bacterial large subunit ribosomal RNA", at positions 2047 to 2653 of the family's 2925-position model. Lineage: Bacteria; Pseudomonadati; Pseudomonadota; Betaproteobacteria; Neisseriales; Neisseriaceae. The record is from RNAcentral.
GUGGUUGUGAAGAUGCAAUCUACCCGCUGCUAGACGGAAAGACCCCGUGAACCUUUACUGUAGCUUUGCAUUGGACUUUGAAGUCACUUGUGUAGGAUAGGUGGGAGGCUUGGAAGCAGAGACGCCAGUCUCUGUGGAGUCGUCCUUGAAAUACCACCCUGGUGUCUUUGAGGUUCUAACCCAGACCCGUCAUCCGGGUCGGGGAUCGUGCAUGGUAGGCAGUUUGACUGGGGCGGUCUCCUCCCAAAGCGUAACGGAGGAGUUCGAAGGUUACCUAGGUCCGGUCGGAAAUCGGACUGAUAGUGCAAUGGCAAAAGGUAGCUUAACUGCGAGACCGACAAGUCGGGCAGGUGCGAAAGCAGGACAUAGUGAUCCGGUGGUUCUGUAUGGAAGGGCCAUCGCUCAACGGAUAAAAGGUACUCCGGGGAUAACAGGCUGAUUCCGCCCAAGAGUUCAUAUCGACGGCGGAGUUUGGCACCUCGAUGUCGGCUCAUCACAUCCUGGGGCUGUAGUCGGUCCCAAGGGUAUGGCUGUUCGCCAUUUAAAGUGGUACGUGAGCUGGGUUUAAAACGUCGUGAGACAGUUUGGUCCCUAUCUGCAGUGGGCG